This 369-nucleotide ribosomal RNA is filed under the name uncultured eukaryote. RNAcentral describes it as "partial 18S ribosomal RNA". It matches the Rfam family "Eukaryotic small subunit ribosomal RNA", at positions 592 to 974 of the family's 1831-position model. The record is from RNAcentral.
CAAUAGCGUAAAUAAAGUUGUUGCAGUUAAAAAGCUCGUAGUUGGAUUUCUGGAAGGGUGUCAAUGUCCGUCAACGUGCGUCUACAGCGGCGCUCUUCAUUCCUUCUUUUAACGCCUCUGGGAAUUUUCUUGCCUGUGGCGGGCUUAGAUAUUUUACCUUGAGAAAAUUAGAGUGUUUCAGGCAGGCUAGGCCCGAAUACAUUAGCAUGGAAUAAAAGAAUAGGACUAUGAUCUCUUUGUUGAUUUAAGGGACUAUGGUAAUGAUUAAUAGGGAUAGUUGGGGGAAUUAGUAUUUAAUUAUAAGAAGUAGAAUUCUCUGAUUUUUAAAGACUAAGUUAUACGANANUAUUUGNCAAGGAUGUUNUCAUU